This 524-nucleotide ribosomal RNA is filed under the name uncultured bacterium. RNAcentral's name for it is "partial 16S ribosomal RNA". It matches the Rfam family "Bacterial small subunit ribosomal RNA", at positions 355 to 874 of the family's 1533-position model. The record is from RNAcentral.
UGGGGAAUUUUGGACAAUGGGCGAAAGCCUGAUCCAGCAAUGCCGCGUGUGAAGAAGGCCUUCGGGUUGUAAAGCACUUUUGUCCGGAAAGAAAUCCUUGGCUCUAAUACAGUCGGGGGAUGACGGUACCGGAAGAAUAAGCACCGGCUAACUACGUGCCAGCAGCCGCGGUAAUACGUAGGGUGCAAGCGUUAAUCGGAAUUACUGGGCGUAAAGCGUGCGCAGGCGGUUUGCUAAGACCGAUGUGAAAUCCCCGGGCUCAACCUGGGAACUGCAUUGGUGACUGGCAGGCUAGAGUAUGGCAGGAGGGGGGUAGAAUUCCACGUGUAGCAGUGAAAUGCGUAGAGAUGUGGAGGAAUACCGAUGGCGAAGGCAGCCCCCUGGGCCAAUACUGACGCUCAUGCACGAAAGCGCGGGGAGCAAACAGGAUUAGAUACCCUGGUAGUCCACGCCCUAAACGAUGUCAACUAGUUGUUGGGAUUCAUUUCCUUAGUAACGUAGCUAACGCGUGAAGUUGACCGCCU